Molecule: ribosomal RNA, 492 nt
Filed under: uncultured bacterium
Lineage: Bacteria
Description: partial 16S ribosomal RNA
Rfam family: Bacterial small subunit ribosomal RNA
Source: RNAcentral
AGUUAACGCUGGCGGUAGGCCUAACACAUGCAAGUCGAACGGCAGCACAGUAAGAGCUUGCUCUUACGGGUGGCGAGUGGCGGACGGGUGAGGAAUACAUCGGAAUCUACUUUUUCGUGGGGGAUAACGUAGGGAAACUUACGCUAAUACCGCAUACGACCUACGGGUGAAAGCAGGGGAUCUUCGGACCUUGCGCUAUUGAAUGAGCCGAUGUCGGAUUAGCUAGUUGGCGGGGUAAAGGCCCACCAAGGCGACGAUCCGUAGCUGGUCUGAGAGGAUGAUCGGCCACACUGGAACUGAGACACGGUCCAGACUCCUACGGGAGGCAGCAGUGGGGAAUAUUGGACAAUGGGCGCAAGCCUGAUCCAGCCAUACCGCGUGGGUGAAGAAGGCCUUCGGGUUGUAAAGCCCUUUUGUUGGGAAAGAAAAGCAGCAGGUUAAUACCCCGCUGUUCUGACGGUACCCAAAGAAUAAGCACCGGCUAACUUCGUG